RNAcentral lists this ribosomal RNA (468 nucleotides) under uncultured bacterium. Its description in RNAcentral is "partial 16S ribosomal RNA". It matches the Rfam family "Bacterial small subunit ribosomal RNA", at positions 28 to 507 of the family's 1533-position model. The record is from RNAcentral.
GACGAACGCUGGCGGCGUGCUUAACACAUGCAAGUCGAACGGAAAGGCCCUGCUUUUGUGGGGUGCUAGAGUGGCGAACGGGUGAGUAACACGUGAGUAACCUGCCUUUGACUUUGGGAUAACUUCAGGAAACUGGGGCUAAUACCGGCUAGGAGCUCCUGCUGCAUGGUGGGGGUUGGAAAGUUUCGGCGGUUGGGGAUGGACUCGCGGCUUAUCAGCUUGUUGGUGGGGUAGUGGCUUACCAAGGCUUUGACGGGUAGCCGGCCUGAGAGGGUGACCAGCCACAUUGGUACUGAGAGACGGCCCAGACUCCUACGGGAGGCAGCAGUGGGGAAUAUUGCACAAUGGGCGGAAGCCUGAUGCAGCAACGCCGCGUUCGGGAUGACGGCCUUCGGGUUGUAAACCGCUUUCGCCUGUGACGAAGCGUGAGUGACGGUAAUGGGUAAAGAAGCACCGGCUAACUACGUG